GAUGAACGCUGGCGGCGUGCCUAAUACAUGCAAGUCGAACGCAUUGAGAAAAGUGCUUGCACUUUUCAAUUUGAGUGGCGAACGGGUGAGUAACACGUGGGCAACCUACCUGAUAGCGGGGGAUAACGAGUGGAAACAUUCGCUAAUACCGCAUAACAAGAGAGAAGGCAUCUUCUUUAUUUAAAAGGCGCUUUGAAGCGUCACUAUCAGAUGGGCCCGCGGUGCAUUGGUUAGUUGGUGGGGUGAAGGCCUACCAAGACGAUGAUGCAUAGCCGAGUUGAGAGACUGAUCGGCCACAUUGGGACUGAGACACGGCCCAAACUCCUACGGGAGGCUGCAGUAGGGAAUCUUCCACAAUGGACGAAAGUCUGAUGGAGCAACGCCGCGUGUGUGAUGAAGGCUUUCGGGUCGUAAAGCACUGUUGUAUGGGAAGAAAUGCUAGGCUAGGAAAUGAGCUUAGUUUGACGGUACCAUACCAGAAAGGGACGGCUAAAUACGUGCCAGCAGCCGCCGUAA
RNAcentral lists this ribosomal RNA (516 nucleotides) under uncultured bacterium. RNAcentral describes it as "partial 16S ribosomal RNA". It matches the Rfam family "Bacterial small subunit ribosomal RNA", at positions 28 to 523 of the family's 1533-position model. The record is from RNAcentral.